AAUAUUGGACAAUGGGCGAAAGCCUGAUCCAGCAAUGCCGCGUGAGUGAUGAAGGCCCUAGGGUUGUAAAGCUCUUUUACCAGGGAUGAUAAUGACAGUACCUGGAGAAUAAGCUCCGGCUAACUCCGUGCCAGCAGCCGCGGUAAUACGGAGGGGGCUAGCGUUGUUCGGAAUUACUGGGCGUAAAGCGCGCGUAGGGGGCCUGUCAAGUCAGGGGUGAAAGCCCGGGGCUCAACCCCGGAAUUGCCUUUGAAACUGGCAGGCUAGAAUCUUGGAGAGGUCAGUGGAAUUCCGAGUGUAGAGGUGAAAUUCGUAGAUAUUCGGAGGAACACCGAUGGCGAAGGCAGCCCCCUGGGAUAAUACUGACGCUCAGACACGAAAGCGUGGGGAGCAAACAG
RNAcentral lists this ribosomal RNA (398 nucleotides) under uncultured bacterium. RNAcentral describes it as "partial 16S ribosomal RNA". It matches the Rfam family "Bacterial small subunit ribosomal RNA", at positions 360 to 775 of the family's 1533-position model. The record is from RNAcentral.